GUAGAGACUAGAGUCUCAUCUUGACAGUAACCAUUGUCUUGAUGUGCUAGAUUCCUCUUAGAAAAAAGAGUUGCUAUUCACUGGCUGGCUUUCUUUUCGGCCAGUCAGCCACAUGUGCAAUCACAAGA
This is a small nucleolar RNA of Dunckerocampus dactyliophorus (ringed pipefish), 128 nucleotides long. RefSeq annotates it as small nucleolar RNA SNORA3/SNORA45 family. NCBI's taxonomy places the organism in Eukaryota, Metazoa, Chordata, Actinopteri, Syngnathiformes, Syngnathidae. The transcript has a single exon. The record is from RefSeq and is a predicted model, not a curated record.